This 463-nucleotide long non-coding RNA is filed under the name Coffea arabica (coffee). RNAcentral's name for it is "long non-coding RNA (CARA_LNC000819)". The record is from RNAcentral. Lineage: Eukaryota; Viridiplantae; Streptophyta; Magnoliopsida; Gentianales; Rubiaceae.
GAAGGCAGGUUUUGCAAGUCCAUCGUCAGACAGGAGAUAAUCAGCCCCCUGAGGCCAGUAGCCAAACACACACACACAAAAAAAAGAAGAAGAAAGUAAUCAGUAAUUGGAUGGAGCAAUCAGGGUUUUACUGUAAAUUGUUCUCCAGUGCGUACGCAUUCCUGGCCAGGUGGAGGUGGGGCAAAUAUUAUGAAGGUGUCAAGUUGAAGGAAGACGGGCAAGAAGUUCAAAAAGCAGCUGUGCAAGGCGAAUUAUAAUUGUACCUGGAGCCACUUAUUCGUCGAUCUCUUAAAGCCAGUUGCAAAAAUAAUAGCAUCAAAUGGGUAAGACUUGCCAUCCUCAAACACCACAUCAUUGCCCCCAAGACUUGCUACUGCCGGCACUACCUGUUUAUUUAUUUAUUUUAUGGUAUCAAAAUUAUAAGAUUUUACAACAUGCAUGCUUCAUACCGAAGGAAUUUCGA